UACAGAGGUCUCGAGCGUUGUUCGGAUUCAUUGGGCGUAAAGGGCGCGUAGGCGGCGGGGUAAGUCUGGUGUGAAAUCUCGGAGCUCAACUCCGAAAUUGCACUGGAUACUGCUCUGCUAGAGGGCUGGAGAGGAGAUUGGAAUUCACGGUGUAGCAGUGAAAUGCGUAGAUAUCGUGAGGAAGACCAGUGGCGAAGGCGGAUCUCUGGACAGUUCCUGACGCUGAGGCGCGAAGGCCAGGGGAGCAAACGGG
Molecule: ribosomal RNA, 253 nt
Filed under: uncultured bacterium
Lineage: Bacteria
Description: partial 16S ribosomal RNA
Rfam family: Bacterial small subunit ribosomal RNA
Source: RNAcentral